ACACAACACGAAAAAGAUUUUCCCACGAUCUGAAAUUCGUUGAAAACGAAGUGUGAAACACAUCUCGUUGAAUUUGUGAAAACAAACGAGUGCUUCAGUUCGAAGGAACAUCGUGUGAAACCAGCCACACAACAAAGAAAAUUUGGACUGAUAUACCAAAUGCACUGAAACAAGGAGAUAUUCGCGUAAUAAAUGCGCUUUCACAAGCUCCAAGUAUAGGAUUGGCACCGACGGCGGCUUCAUCAUGACAGUAUUUUGAAGCAUUAAAGAUUUUGUAAACACUUAUCAGCAAAUGAAGUGGAACUGCCAGCAACUACGACCCUGAAUGAUCAGUUCUCGUGUAGAAAAAAUCGACGAAACAACUUGUGUUCCGGCUGCUGGGAGUGAUCACAAAACUCCACGGAAAUGGAAUAAACAGCAGCACAAAAAUAUUGAUCUCCGUGACAUUAAGCUCAUGGUGAAAACAAUGUAUGCAGCAUAACCUCCGAGCCAUGAUUCAUUCGCAAAAAAACCUUGAUUGUGUCCUAAAUGAUCACAAUUGUUGAGGAAUGAAAUAAAAACGCCAUGUUGUCUAUUUUUUAAUUUUUUAUUCAUAUUUAAUUGAUUUAAUUAUCUUUUACAUAACCGGUGAGUGUGUCACGUAGCUGAUACGAAGCCUUACUAGAAUUGUUCUUAUUCAUAUUUCUGCUGCUGAUAAAUCCAUAAGAAGUGUAA
Molecule: long non-coding RNA, 714 nt
Organism: Toxorhynchites rutilus septentrionalis
Lineage: Eukaryota; Metazoa; Arthropoda; Insecta; Diptera; Culicidae
Exons: 3
Source: RefSeq, a predicted model, not a curated record